CCUGCCCCUGGAGGCAUUGCAGAUGUGGCUGUGUCACAUGUGUGUGUCAGAAGGCAGCAGAGGGGAGAGAGACUAUGUCUACCCUCGGUGUUCUGACCUGUGAACAUCUGAAUGAUUAGUGGCCUAACAUU
Molecule: small nucleolar RNA, 131 nt
Organism: Meriones unguiculatus (Mongolian gerbil)
Lineage: Eukaryota; Metazoa; Chordata; Mammalia; Rodentia; Muridae
Source: Ensembl